AAUUCAGUGAAUCAUCGAAUCUUUGAACGCACAUUGCGCCCCUUGGUAUUCCAUGGGGCAUGCCUGUUCGAGCGUCAUUUGUACCUUCAAGCUUUGCUUGGUGUUGGGUGUUUGUCUCGCCUUUGCGUGUAGACUCGCCUUAAAACAAUUGGCAGCCGGCGUAUUGAUUUCGGAGCGCAGUACAUCUCGCGCUUUGCACUCAUAACGGUGGCGUCCAAAAGUACAUUUUUACACUCUUGACCUCGGAUCAGGUAGGGAUACCCGCUGAACUUAAGCAUAUCAAUAAGCGGAGGAAAAGAAACCAACAGGGAUUGCCCUAGUAACGGCGAGUGAAGCGGCAACAGCUCAAAUUUGAAAUCUGGCGUCUUUGGCGUCCGAGUUGUAAUUUGCAGAGGGCGCUUUGGCAUUGGCAGCGGUCCAAGUUCCUUGGAACAGGACGUCACAGAGGGUGAGAAUCCCGUACGUGGUCGCUAGCCUUUACCGUGUAAAGCCCCUUCGACGAGUCGAGUUGUUUGGGAAUGCAGCUCUAAAUGGGAGGUAAAUUUCUUCUAAAGCUAAAUACUGGCCAGAGACCGAUAGCGCACAAGUAGAGUGAUCGAAAGAUGAAAAGCACUUUGGAAAGAGAGUUAAAAAGCACGUGAAAUUGUUGAAAGGGAAGCGCUUGCAGCCAGACUUGCCUGUAGUUGCUCAUCCGGGUUUCUACCCGGUGCACUCUUCUACAGGCAGGCCAGCAUCAGUUUGGGCGGUUGGAUAAAGGUCUCUGUCAUGUACCUCUCUUCGGGGAGAACUUAUAGGGGAGACGACAUGCAACCAGCCUGGA
Molecule: ribosomal RNA, 820 nt
Filed under: fungal endophyte
Lineage: Eukaryota; Fungi
Description: eukaryotic LSU rRNA
Rfam family: Eukaryotic large subunit ribosomal RNA (bases 238-820)
Source: RNAcentral